GCCGCAGCCCCCUGGUAACUUCUUGUGUGUUUCUUGGUUUUCAGAGAUCCCCCUGUACUUUGUGGACUUGCAGGAUGACUUAGACGACUAUUAUUGCCAGAGGGCUGCUUGAUAUCUUCCGGGACUUCGGUAACAAUGAAGAAGACUUCCUCACGGUAAUGGAGAUUGUAGUCAGAUUGUCAGAAGAUGCAGAGCCCACAGUGCGGACUGAGCUGAUGGAACAGAUUCCUCCUAUUGCCAUUUUUUUACAAGAAAACAGAUCAAAUUUUCCAGUGGUGCUCUCUGAAUAUCUCAUACCUAUUGUAGUGAGGUACCUCACAGAUCCAAACAAUCAGCUCAAGUUCAGGUAUUAUCCGCUGCACUGAGAGCUGCACAGCUCGACUGCGUGAAUGAAGCUGAGAGCAAGCCAACAGCAGGCCUAAAGGAAGUGUCCAUUUCACAUCCCAGCUCUGCCUCUGACAAUCAGAUCGCUCUGGCGGCCUCAUCAUCUCAGGAUGAGCUCUUU
This 505-nucleotide long non-coding RNA is filed under the name Homo sapiens (human). RNAcentral's name for it is "non-protein coding lnc-ANKRD60-4:1". The record is from RNAcentral. Lineage: Eukaryota; Metazoa; Chordata; Mammalia; Primates; Hominidae.